AUGAGGGAAGCGGGACAGGAAUGGCGAAGACCAAAGGAAAUUCUCCAGUGAAGGCCUUUUUAAGCCUUUAGAGGUGAACAUUCAUCCUGCUGUACAACAAACUGGAGCAGGAGCGGUACCGAAGUGGCUCAUUCAGGCAAUCCAUCUGGCAUUGUGCAGACCUCCCCAUAGAGCUUAGCAUGACUCUGUGAAGAACACUUGAAAUUGAAAUGUUUGAAAUUUCAAAGGACUUAAAUGAAGUUGGGUUAUCCUGGCCUCAUUUUCCUGGUCAGUGAAGGCUUUUUAGAGCGUGAAAGCGUACA
Long non-coding RNA from Suricata suricatta (meerkat), 302 nucleotides. RefSeq lists it as uncharacterized. The transcript has 3 exons. The record is from RefSeq and is a predicted model, not a curated record. NCBI's taxonomy places the organism in Eukaryota, Metazoa, Chordata, Mammalia, Carnivora, Herpestidae.